RNAcentral lists this ribosomal RNA (846 nucleotides) under uncultured bacterium. RNAcentral's name for it is "bacterial SSU rRNA". It matches the Rfam family "Bacterial small subunit ribosomal RNA", at positions 51 to 890 of the family's 1533-position model. The record is from RNAcentral.
ACACAUGCAAGUCGAGGGGCAGCAUCAUCAAAGCUUGCUUUGAUGGAUGGCGACCGGCGCACGGGUGAGUAACACGUAUCCAACCUGCCGACAACACUGGGAUAGCCUUUCGAAAGAAAGAUUAAUACCGGAUGGCAUAAUUAUUCCGCAUGGGAUAAUUAUUAAAGAAUUUCGGUUGUCGAUGGGGAUGCGUUCCAUUAGGCAGUUGGCGGGGUAACGGCCCACCAAACCUACGAUGGAUAGGGGUUCUGAGAGGAAGGUCCCCCACAUUGGAACUGAGACACGGUCCAAACUCCUACGGGAGGCAGCAGUGAGGAAUAUUGGUCAAUGGACGAGAGUCUGAACCAGCCAAGUAGCGUGAAGGAUGACUGCCCUAUGGGUUGUAAACUUCUUUUAUACGGGAAUAAAGUGAGCCACGUGUGGCUUUUUGUAUGUACCGUAUGAAUAAGGAUCGGCUAACUCCGUGCCAGCAGCCGCGGUAAUACGGAGGAUCCGAGCGUUAUCCGGAUUUAUUGGGUUUAAAGGGAGCGUAGGCGGGUUGUUAAGUCAGUUGUGAAAGUUUGCGGCUCAACCGUAAAAUUGCAGUUGAUACUGGCGACCUUGAGUGCAACAGAGGUAGGCGGAAUUCGUGGUGUAGCGGUGAAAUGCUUAGAUAUCACGAAGAACUCCGAUUGCGAAGGCAGCUUACUGGAUUGUAACUGACGCUGAUGCUCGAAAGUGUGGGUAUCAAACAGGAUUAGAUACCCUGGUAGUCCACACAGUAAACGAUGAAUACUCGCUGUUGGCGAUAUACAGUCAGCGGCCAAGCGAAAGCAUUAAGUAUUCCACCUGGGGAGUGCGCCGGCA